Molecule: ribosomal RNA, 109 nt
Filed under: uncultured bacterium
Lineage: Bacteria
Description: partial 16S ribosomal RNA
Rfam family: Bacterial small subunit ribosomal RNA
Source: RNAcentral
AAUACGUUCCCGGACCUUGCACACACCGCCUGUCAAGCCAUGGAAGCUGGGUGUACCUAAAGUCGGUAACCGUAAGGAGCCGCCUAGGGUAAAACUAGUGACUGGGGCU